AGAGUUUGAUCAUGGCUCAGGACGAACGCUGGCGGCGUGCUUAACACAUGCAAGUCGAGCGGAAAGGCCCUUCGGGGUACUCGAGCGGCGAACGGGUGAGUAACACGUGAGCAACCUGCCCCUGGCUCUGGGAUAGCUCCGGGAAACCGGGAUUAAUACCGGAUAUGACCUGCGCGGGCAUCUGCGCGGGUGGAAAGUUU
Molecule: ribosomal RNA, 200 nt
Filed under: uncultured bacterium
Lineage: Bacteria
Description: partial 16S ribosomal RNA
Rfam family: Bacterial small subunit ribosomal RNA
Source: RNAcentral